CAUCGUUACAACAACAGUACCUAGACCCAUCAUUGUUUACAUUGAUUUUCAAAAUGAAUCUAUCGACAAUUUAAUGCGGUCAAACAAGACAGUAAAGUCUCUAUAAGGGACGAAUUAGUCGUUCAUUAGGCUGGUAUCCUUUUGUCCAAGUGGAAGUUAAACUUGGUGAUGCAGCUAAACCGGUCGUCGUAGUAAAAGUUGAACAAGCAACUUCAUUUUGGUACGAUUUUGAGGAGCUCAAUGUCAAACAGGAGAGUCUUAUCAAUUAAUCCUUGGUCCUUAGCACAAAUGUAGUCAAACGUAGUCAAAUGUAGUUAAAUAUAGUUAAGGUUAUAAGGUUCCUCAGCAC
This 349-nucleotide long non-coding RNA is filed under the name Nicotiana benthamiana. RNAcentral describes it as "long non-coding RNA (NBEN_LNC034536)". The record is from RNAcentral. Lineage: Eukaryota; Viridiplantae; Streptophyta; Magnoliopsida; Solanales; Solanaceae.